CCAAUAGCGUAUAUUAAAGUUGUUGUGGUUAAAAAGCUCGUAGUUGAACCUUGGGCCUGGCUGGCCGGUCCGCCUCACCGCGUGUACUGGUCCGGCCGGGCCUUUCCCUCUGUGGAACCCCAUGCCCUUCACUGGGUGUGGCGGGGAAACAGGACUUUUACUGUGAAAAAAUUAGAGUGCUCCAGGCAGGCCUAUGCUCGAAUACAUUAGCAUGGAAUAAUAGAAUAGGACGUGUGGUUCUAUUUUGUUGGUUUCUAGGACCGCCGUAAUGAUUAAUAGGGACAGUCGGGGGCAUCAGUAUUCAAUUGUCAGAGGUGAAAUUCUUGGAUUUAUUGAAGACUAACUACUGCGAAAGCAUUUGCCAAGGAUGUUUUCAUUAAUCAGGAACGAAAGUUAGGGGAUCGAAGACGAUCAGAUACCGUCGUAGUCUUAACCAUAAACUAUGCCGACUAGGGAUCAGACGGUGUUAUUUUUUGACCCGUUCGGCACCUUACG
RNAcentral lists this unclassified non-coding RNA (495 nucleotides) under uncultured Glomeromycotina. RNAcentral's name for it is "SSU rRNA". It matches the Rfam family "Eukaryotic small subunit ribosomal RNA", at positions 591 to 1092 of the family's 1831-position model. The record is from RNAcentral. Lineage: Eukaryota; Fungi; Glomeromycota.